This is a long non-coding RNA of Mauremys mutica (yellowpond turtle), 405 nucleotides long. RefSeq lists it as uncharacterized. NCBI's taxonomy places the organism in Eukaryota, Metazoa, Chordata, Testudines, Geoemydidae. The record is from RefSeq and is a predicted model, not a curated record. The transcript has 3 exons.
CAACCUAUGGCAAAGUGUGCCUCUCAUUUCCCUGUAGCAGCUGUUCCUCACAGAGGAUAACCAUUGACUCAAAUGGUAGAUUGAAAGGUUUCCAGCAUUGCAGAUGACCCACACAGAGGAAAUUUUUGCUUCCUAAAAAUGUGCAUACUCCUUGGAAAUAACUACAUUUCCCUGAAUUUCUGAAGAAUUGAAAGCUGAGGAGCAGCCCAAAUCACAAUGUCCGAGAGAAUCUGUUGUUUAAACAGGUUGGCUGCUACUGAACCAGGAGAGGAGAAGUAGACAAUUCAUGCUGGUGACUUAUCUCCUUCCAUGGAUUCAUCUGGUUAUCGCUGAUCAGGGAGCUUGUCCUUUAUGUGAAUAAGGGCUGCGGAAUCGGGCUCUCCCCAGAAGACCUCAGAAAGCAGG